CCUAUGGAGGGGGAUACACGGGAAACUGGGGAUAUACCCAUAGACUAUGAAUGCUGGGAUGCUUUGUAGUUGAAAGGUCCGCCGCCAUAGGAUGGGUCUGCGGCCGAUUAGGUUGUUGUUGGGGUAACGGCCCAACAAGCCUGUAAUCGGUACGGGUUGUGGGAGCAAGAGCCCGGAGAUGGAUUCUGAGACACGAAUCCAGGCCCUACUGGGCGCAGCAGGCGCGAAAACUUUACAAUGCGGGAAACCGUGAUAAGGGAACUCCGAGUGCCCGUAAAAUCGGGCUGUCCAUCUGUUUAAAUAACAGGUGAAGAAAGGGCCGGGCAAGACCGGUGCCAGCCGCCGCGGUAAUACCGGCGGCUCGAGUGGUGGCCACUAUUACUGGGCUUAAAGCGUUCGUAGCUGGUCUGUUAAGUCUCUGGGGAAAUCUACUGGCUUAACCAAUAGGCGUCUCAGGGAUACUGGCAGACUAGGGACCGGGAGAGGUGAGAGGUACUCCAGGGGUAGGAGUGAAAUCCUGUAAUCCUUGGGGGACCACCUGUGGCGAAGGCGUCUCACCAGAACGGCUCCGACAGUGAGGGACGAAAGCUGGGGGAGCAAACCGGAUUAGAUACCCGGGUAGUCCCAGCUGUAAACGAUGCGCGUUAGGUGUAUCGAUGACCACGAGUCAUCGAGGUGCCGAAGAGAAAUCGCGAAACGUGCCGCCUGGGAAGUACGGUCGCAAGGCUGAAACUUAAAGGAAUUGGCGGGGGAGCACCGCAACAGGUGGAGCCUGCGGUUUAAUCGGACUCAACGCCGGAAAUCUCACCGGAUAAGACAGCUGGAUGAUAGUCGGGCUGAAGACUCUACUUGACUAGCUGAGAGGAGGUGCAUGGCCGUCGUCAGUUCGUACUGUGAAGCAUCCUGUUAAGUCAGGCAACGAGCGAGACCCACGCCAACAGUUGCCGGCUCGUCCUCCGGGAUGGUGGGGACACUGUUGGGACCGCCUCUGCUAAAGAGGAGGAAGGAAUGGGCAACGGUAGGUCAGCAUGCCCCGAAUUAUCCGGGCUACACGCGGGCUACAAUGGGUGGGACAAUGGGUAUCGACACCGAAAGGUGAAGGCAAUCUCCUAAACCCAUCCUUUAGUUCGGAUUGUGGGCUGCAACUCGCCCACAUGAAGGCUGGGAAUUCUGUUA
Molecule: ribosomal RNA, 1176 nt
Filed under: uncultured euryarchaeote
Lineage: Archaea; Methanobacteriati; Methanobacteriota
Description: bacterial SSU rRNA
Rfam family: Archaeal small subunit ribosomal RNA
Source: RNAcentral